AACCUGCCCAUCAGAAGGGGAUAACACUUGGAAACAGGUGCUAAUACCGUAUAACAAUCGAAACCGCAUGGUUUUGAUUUGAAAGGCGCUUUCGGGUGUCGCUGAUGGAUGGACCCGCGGUGCAUUAGCUAGUUGGUGAGGUAACGGCUCACCAAGGCCACGAUGCAUAGCCGACCUGAGAGGGUGAUCGGCCACAUUGGGACUGAGACACGGCCCAAACUCCUACGGGAGGCAGCAGUAGGGAAUCUUCGGCAAUGGACGAAAGUCUGACCGAGCAACGCCGCGUGAGUGAAGAAGGUUUUCGGAUCGUAAAACUCUGUUGUUAGAGAAGAACAAGGAUGAGAGUAACUGUUCAUCCCUUGACGGUAUCUAACCAGAAAGCCACGGCUAACUACGUGCCAGCAGCCGCGGUAAUACGUAGGUGGCAAGCGUUGUCCGGAUUUAUUGGGCGUAAAGCGAGCGCA
Molecule: ribosomal RNA, 464 nt
Filed under: Enterococcus thailandicus
Lineage: Bacteria; Bacillati; Bacillota; Bacilli; Lactobacillales; Enterococcaceae
Description: bacterial SSU rRNA
Rfam family: Bacterial small subunit ribosomal RNA
Source: RNAcentral